This 110-nucleotide small nucleolar RNA is filed under the name Gorilla gorilla gorilla (western lowland gorilla). RNAcentral describes it as "Small nucleolar RNA U13". It matches the Rfam family "Small nucleolar RNA U13". The record is from Rfam by way of RNAcentral. Lineage: Eukaryota; Metazoa; Chordata; Mammalia; Primates; Hominidae.
AUCCUUUUGUGGUUCAGGAGUGCGAUGAUUGGUUUUUCACACAUAUAUGUGAGAUGUGCCUCCCUCAAACCUUGUUAGGAGUAGAAGGUAGGCGCAUUACCUAUCUGACA